GAUGAACGCUGGCGGCGUGCCUAAUACAUGCAAGUCGAGCGAACAGACGAGGAGCUUGCUCCUCUGACGUUAGCGGCGGACGGGUGAGUAACACGUGGAUAACCUACCUAUAAGACUGGGAUAACUUCGGGAAACCGGAGCUAAUACCGGAUAAUAUAUUGAACCGCAUGGUUCAAUAGUGAAAGACGGUUUUGCUGUCACUUAUAGAUGGAUCCGCGCCGCAUUAGCUAGUUGGUAAGGUAACGGCUUACCAAGGCAACGAUGCGUAGCCGACCUGAGAGGGUGAGCGGCCACACAGUGACUGAGACACGGGCCAGACUCCUACGGGAGGCAGCGGUAGGGAAUCUUCCGCAAUGGGCGAAAGCCUGACGGAGCAACGCCGCGUGAGUGAUGAAGGUCUUCGGAUCGUAAAACUCUGUUAUUAGGGAAGAACAAAUGUGUAAAUAACUAUGCACGUCUUGACGGGACCUAAUCAGAAAGCCACGGCUAACUACGUG
RNAcentral lists this ribosomal RNA (497 nucleotides) under uncultured bacterium. RNAcentral's name for it is "partial 16S ribosomal RNA". It matches the Rfam family "Bacterial small subunit ribosomal RNA", at positions 28 to 507 of the family's 1533-position model. The record is from RNAcentral.